This is a long non-coding RNA of Lepidothrix coronata (blue-crowned manakin), 527 nucleotides long. RefSeq lists it as uncharacterized. The transcript has 2 exons. Lineage: Eukaryota; Metazoa; Chordata; Aves; Passeriformes; Pipridae. The record is from RefSeq and is a predicted model, not a curated record.
GGGGCUGCGGGAGCUGCUGUGACGUCUGUCCGCGUUAUCUGCCCGUGCUGGCGCCGGGAAAGCAGGAUUUUGGCUUGUUCCGGCAGGAUUGUCCCCUUAUCUCCCUGCAGAAGGUGUCGGCACGAGGAAUUACUACAGGAAGAUCGGCUACGAGCUGGAAGGGCCCUACAUGGUGAAAAGGUUGGAAUGACGCUCCGGCGGAUCCGGGAGGAGGAGCGGGAGACGACGCCUAUCCCGGGAAUCAGCCCCGAGCCAAACACCAAAGCUGCCAAUGCCAAGGAUUUGCUUCCAGCAAUAAGAUGGGAUUGGACUUGGAGAUCCUGGUGGGUCCCUUCCAGCUCCGGAUAUUCCCUGAUUCCAUGGAUUGGGGGCGGGGCAGCUCGUUUUUCCCCCAGAGAGGUCGGGAAUGUUCCAGGUGUCUGGAACCACCUCCUUUGGGAUGCUGUUGGAGGGGCUUUUCCUGCCAUUAAAAUCCCGUGGGGGUUUUUUUCCUGCAAUCCCAAUAAAAUUCUUUCCCUGGGCUCUGU